Molecule: long non-coding RNA, 1738 nt
Organism: Gasterosteus aculeatus aculeatus (three-spined stickleback)
Lineage: Eukaryota; Metazoa; Chordata; Actinopteri; Perciformes; Gasterosteidae
Source: Ensembl
UCAGCUCGGCUCAGACUCUCCUCAUCGAGAUUAACGCUGCGGACAGGGCCGGGCGGCCCGGGGGGGCAGCGUGGCCCUCAGCGUGACGUCACGGACCCCUCAUCAGAGGCCGCUGACAUUUACUGUAUCGCUUUGGAGAUGUAAGAGCACUUAGCCGCGAGGCAGGGAGGCACUUUUCAUCGUCGCUUUGAUGCCUUCCUCCUCCUACUUGCAGUGACGGGAUACACACUUUUCUCAGGGUCCCUCUUGUUGUGGUGCGACUUAGAAGAAGAAGAAGAUCCACAGACCUAGUAGGGGGGUUUCUGUGUGAUGGAGCAGGGCGUAAAUAUGAAGCUACUGACGGAAGCGGCUCAGCUCAGCGGGAAAGACCGGAAACAGGGAGACUGCUUGCAUAGUUAUUUUCAAAACUCACUAUGUUGUUAAUUAUAAAAACAGCACGUUUGACAGGUUUGUCACAUGGAGGACCAGGUAUCAGACAAGGUGGCAGACUCCUCAUGCGACUCACAAGAAACAAGACGCGUUUAGUCAUCAGCAGAGCUCGUAAAGUCUACUGAGCUAUAGAGAGAUAAGAAAUGUCACAAAGGCAGAGAAAGUGAGUCAUUCCAUCCGGCGUGAUGGACAUGUGACCACACACACACACACGCAGACACACACAGAGCGACUAUGAUUCACUCCUCUGCUCAGAGAGCUGGUGUGAUUCAUCCUGCGCCCUCGCUGUGGCAGCGCACAUUAAAAGCAAACCCUGCUACAGUUUAAAUGACCCGAGUGCUGAUUCAAAGAAAAGAAACUCCUGGACUCCGUCUCUCCCGGCUCCGGAUGACCCUGCAGCAGCCCGCUCGCCCACCCAAAACCGGCUUAUUCUGCCUCCUGCAACUCGUGGGGUGACGAAACCCAAUGAAAGGAUGCACAGGCCGAAUAUAAACAGAAAUAUGCAAGAAACGUUCAAGGAAAAGGUUUAUGUUGGCCCCCCGCUCUGUUGUUGUACAUUUGUCUUUACGUUUUCCUGUUGGUUAAUAUUAUGAACAGCAUUACACUUUUCGGAGUCAGUAUUUUUUCUAACGGAUAUCUUAUUUUGUAGCACUUAACAGAAGUAACAUGAAUGCACUCAAAGAGUGUGCCGCAGCUCAAGUGCCUGUAUACAAGCGUCAGGUGUCUUUAAGUUCAAGAGUUUGAUUAUAUCUCUUUUUUUUCACUUAUUCUAUGAGUUUGUGUGUUUCUGAUGAAGGUUUUUUGUAAGUCAGGUGACCUUGGGAGACUCAAGCAAACUGUAUAAACCUGGCACCGAUAUUAAGGGACUCAUACACAUAGGUGGCCAAUGAAGGCAUGCUGUGUGUCUACUUGCUAUACGUACUGAAACUAAUAGGGUCAUGUAGCAUUACAGAAAACAUACACAUGUCACCUGAGACUUCUGCUCAAAAACUCACAUAUGCCGUUACCCAAUAGCUCUACUGUGCAGAGGUUUUGCAUGCGCAGUACGUUUCAUCGUCAUCAUGGCAUCACGAUGAAACCUUAUCGGGAGGUUUACUGUGAUAUCGUUACAAACGUGAUGCGGAUGGUCCCGAAAAAAGCUGAAUGUCGACUUACCUACUAAUGUAAAAUGCAUUGUGUAAAUGUGAAUUUCUUAGAGUUAAUACAAGAUACAGAAAUACGCUAUGAAAUGUAAAAGAAAAUAACUAAAUAACAAUGUGUGCAAAUGAAAUAGAGCAUCUAUAAUACAAUAAACAGAGAUGUCAUUGCA